Molecule: non-coding RNA, 348 nt
Organism: Vicia faba (fava bean)
Lineage: Eukaryota; Viridiplantae; Streptophyta; Magnoliopsida; Fabales; Fabaceae
Source: the annotation of a GenBank genome assembly
CAAGACAAGUUCCUUUUUGUUUGUCAUUAUUAUAUGAACAUGAUGGUACUAUAUAUUAGCUGUACAGGUAAAAUCAAUCAUGUUUUUUAUUUAUUUACCUUAUAUGGUGGCGCGGUUAAUGUCGGCUAUAAAGACACCUCCAUAUCAACGAUUCUAUUCUUCACCAUUUAUCUUGCUUCAAAUGACUUCUUCUUCUUCUUCCUAGUUCCAGCUUAUUCCUUAAUUUUCUGUCAAGGUCACUUCAAAUUCAAUCUUUCUCAUCUCAAUUUAGUGUUUUCUUUCAGUCCUAGUUUUAAGUUUCUAUACUGGUGUGUUGAUCUGGUUUUUAUUGUUUCUCGAUCGGUGUGA